Molecule: ribosomal RNA, 254 nt
Filed under: uncultured bacterium
Lineage: Bacteria
Description: partial 16S ribosomal RNA
Rfam family: Bacterial small subunit ribosomal RNA
Source: RNAcentral
GACGAACCGUGCGAAUGUUGUUCGGAAUCACUGGGCUUAAAGGGCGCGUAGGCGGCCACCGCAAGUCGACUGUGAAAUCUCCGGGCUUAACCCGGAAAGGUCAGCCGAUACUGCGGGGCUAGAGUGCAGAAGGGGCAACUGGAAUUCUCGGUGUAGCGGUGAAAUGCGUAGAUAUCGAGAGGAACACCUGCGGCGAAGGCGGGUUGCUGGGCUGACACUGACGCUGAGGCGCGAAAGCUAGGGGAGCGAACGGG